Molecule: long non-coding RNA, 284 nt
Organism: Populus euphratica (Euphrates poplar)
Lineage: Eukaryota; Viridiplantae; Streptophyta; Magnoliopsida; Malpighiales; Salicaceae
Exons: 3
Source: RefSeq, a predicted model, not a curated record
GAAACUCUCUGCACUUGUCCAAACCCUCAAAAGAAAAGUAUUAUGAUUCCGAUGAAGAAGAUUAUGAUUCCGAUGAAGAAGAUUAUGAUUCCGAUGAAGAUUCCCACAAUCACGUUCAGAACCAUGAUGGUUGUGAUCCCAUGCACUUUUGUGGCGAGUAUGAUUGUCCAAUCACCACCAUUUUACACGCUGAUGAUGCAGACAGAUUUCUGAAAACGUUGAAGUGGCCAGUAGACCACCAAGGCCAAACAUCAUGGACAUUGCACAUCAGAUGCUUAAUGAAA